AGCUCUGCAGUAUUUGUUUACGUUGGAUUGCAAAUCCAAAGCAGGAGGUGACUCUCCCGGGGCUU
RNAcentral lists this transfer RNA (65 nucleotides) under Cephaloscyllium fasciatum (reticulated swellshark). Its description in RNAcentral is "tRNA-Cys". Lineage: Eukaryota; Metazoa; Chordata; Chondrichthyes; Carcharhiniformes; Scyliorhinidae. The record is from RNAcentral.